GUCCACGCCAUAAACGAUGACAACUAGACGUUGGGAGGGUAAGCCUCACAGUGUCGCAGCUAACGCGUUAAGUUGUCCGCCUGGGGAGUACGGCCGCAAGGUUGAAACUCAAAGGAAUUGACGGGGACCCCGCACAAGCGGUGGAGCAUGUGGUUUAAUUCGAUGCAACGCGAAGAACCUUACCUGGUCUUGACAUCCACGGAAUCCCGAAGAGAUUUGGGAGUGCCGCAAGGAACCGUGAGACAGGUGCUGCAUGGCUGUCGU
This 264-nucleotide ribosomal RNA is filed under the name uncultured bacterium. RNAcentral's name for it is "partial 16S ribosomal RNA". It matches the Rfam family "Bacterial small subunit ribosomal RNA", at positions 793 to 1055 of the family's 1533-position model. The record is from RNAcentral.